CCCGCCCCCCGCCCCUUCGCGGGAGCGGAGCUCGGGCUUAAAUUAUCCCCUGCGAAAAUCCCAGAUCGGGGCUAAAUUUCUCCCACCCCACUCGCCCCGCCAGCGGCUGCAGCUGCUGCUCCUGCAGCCGGGAGGGGAAAAUGUGGCCGGCUAACACGCAGCAGGAAACCUUUAUUUCAGAUUCGGUCAUUAAAGCGUGGGUUUCUGCUCGCGCCCUUUAACGAGGUGCCCACUCCCGGCCGCUAGCUGCAAUAUGAUCUUUGCUGCUUUGUGCAUUGGGCUUUGUUUUGGAUUUGGUUUUGGAAAAAGCGCGUCUAGACAACGAUUAUGUUGGUGGCAAGAGGAUGACAGACUUUAAGAACAGAGAAGGCUUGGACCACUGAGGCAGGCACACCUGGCUUCUGUCCCCAGCUAAGAAGCAUCAGAGAAGUCUUUUAACCCUUAAGUUUCCAUUUCCUCUUAUGUAAAAUAGGUGCACAAACACCUACCUAAGCAGAGUGUUGUAAGAUU
This 510-nucleotide long non-coding RNA is filed under the name Equus asinus (donkey). RNAcentral's name for it is "lncRNA (ENSEASG00005035438.1)". The record is from RNAcentral. Lineage: Eukaryota; Metazoa; Chordata; Mammalia; Perissodactyla; Equidae.